AGAGUUUGAUCAUGGCUCAGGACGAACGCUGGCGGCGUGCCUAAUACAUGCAAGUCGAGCGGAUCAAUUCGGAAGCUUGCUUCCGAAUUGAUUAGCGGCGGACGGGUGAGUAACACGUAGGCAACCUGCCUGCAAGAUCGGGAUAACAUUCGGAAACGGAUGCUAAUACCGGAUACACAAUUUGACCGCAUGGUUGAAUU
Molecule: ribosomal RNA, 200 nt
Filed under: uncultured bacterium
Lineage: Bacteria
Description: partial 16S ribosomal RNA
Rfam family: Bacterial small subunit ribosomal RNA
Source: RNAcentral